AUGCCGGAGUCCUCGGCCACGGGAGGGCCCCGGGUCGCAGCGGCCACUGCCAACCACGGCAUGGCCCGGGGGCCAGGGCGAGCGGCUGCACGCAGAUUCCAGGAGCUUCUCCAGCAACACUGGGUACACCCUCCGGGCCACCCGGGCACCUCGACACCACCGCCGGGGAGAUGCCGACAGCCCGCUCUGUCCUCCCCUCCGCCGUUGGGGUGUCGCCCCAUGCACUGCCCUGAAAAUGCUGGCAGCUCCACUUCACUCGUCCUGCGCCCGGUGUUCCUCGAGUAUCUGCGCUGCGCUGGGGAGGCUGCCAGGGGCUGCACCGUAACAGCAGACAAGACCUUCCAGAGCUCACAAUCCAGCGGGGGAGCCAUGACCUUGCCCUGCAAGCUACAGGGUGCUGAAAUCGUGGGGAGAAUACACUCUUUUAUUUUUUUUAAAGAUUUAUUUAUUUAUUUGAGAGGCAAAGUUACAGAGAGAGAGGGACAGAGAAAGGUCUUCCAUUUGCUGGUUCACUCCCCAAAUGGCUACAAUGGCCGGGGCUGGGCCAGACAGGAACCAGGAGCUUCAGCUGGUCUCCCAAAUGCGUGCAGGGGCCCAAGCACUUUGGCCAUCUUCCAGUGCUUUCCCAGGCCAUUAACAGGGUGCCGGAUCAGAAGUGGAGCAGCUGGGGCUCACACUGACGCCCAUAUGGGAUACUGGUGCCAUAGGCGGAGGCUUAACCUACAAUGCCCCAGCGUCAGCCCUCGGGGAUGCACUCUCCGGCCAGAAAUAAGGGCCCCCACUCUGCCUGCGGGUCCGGGAAGGCCCCCCAGCACUGGCACGGCCGAGUCUCAAUGCUAGCGAGGAUGUAGGCGUAUCCAUCCCUGGAACCUGCAUUCCCUGGCCUGUCUGUAGAUUCCCUUUCACGAUCCAUGAAGCACCCACGAAGGACCCUGCCUCCUCCUAAACAGGCCAACAUUCUCUACUUCCGAACAUUUUUGUUCCUCUUCUCUUCCUCCCUGGAUUGACCUUGCUCUCACCUCUUUAUUUCAAAUUCCUGCUGUAUCUUCAAGAGCCACAGAAACACCGCUUCCUCCCUGAAGCCUCCCCUGGUUGUCAGAUUCGCACAAACCCUUGCCAUUUUGUGCACAAUGUACUGUGAGGUCUUCUGUAUGUCUUCCUGGUCCCACUGAACUCAGCAGGGCCAGGGACCACGUUUUGUUCAUCUUGGAGAGCCCCAGAGGGCCAAUCCACCGCAGUGCCUUAUACCCACGGCAAGGAGGUGAGGCCGGGAAGGGGCUGUGUAGAGACCUUUGGUCUCGGCUGUGUUGAAACACAAGCGGGCCGCCCCGUGGUAGGUUUGGACAGUUCUGUGUGCUGAAGGCCGCCACACUCAUCUGCUCCCUCACUGGCCUAGGCAGAGGUCAAGGGUAAAUCGCACUCAUGCCCUGUGCUGGCAUUUUGUAGGUCUGCAGGAAGCAUUUCUGAACCCCAACCAAGAGCAAAAAAUGUCUUUCACUUCACCCGUGUGCAGACAGGAUUGAAUCUCUGCAAAUACUGGGGCACUUCAGAAAGGUUGUGGAAAAUGCAAUUAAAAGAUGAAUUUAUUUUGGUGCAAAACACUCUAAAAUCUAUGCAUAUAAGGGAGCUUCACAAAUUGGUGGCGCGGGGCUGUGGGAGGCUCAGCAAGCUGAACUUCUGCCUGUGACGCCGGCAUCCCGUUUUAGGGUUGUUCUGCUUCUGAUCCAGCUCCCUGCUGAUGCGCCUGGAAAAGCAGUGGAAGGUGGCCCAAGUGCAUGGCUCCCCACCACUCCUGGGGGAGACCAGGACGGGGUUCCAGGAUCCUGGCUUCAGCCUGGCCCAGCCCUGGCCAUCGUGGCCACUUAGGGAGUGAACUAAUGGAGAGAAGCUCUCUCUCUCUCUCUCUCUGCCCCUGACCCUCCUCCCUCUCUGUUACUCUGAUUUUUAAAUAAACUAAUAAAUCUUUAAAAAGUUUUCA
Molecule: long non-coding RNA, 1978 nt
Organism: Oryctolagus cuniculus (rabbit)
Lineage: Eukaryota; Metazoa; Chordata; Mammalia; Lagomorpha; Leporidae
Source: Ensembl